Molecule: long non-coding RNA, 3570 nt
Organism: Capra hircus (goat)
Lineage: Eukaryota; Metazoa; Chordata; Mammalia; Artiodactyla; Bovidae
Source: Ensembl
CCCGCAUGCCAGGCUUCCUGUUCCCUCACUGGCAGGUGAAGUGCAUCAAACCUAGUGCUCUUAGAAGCCAAGGGAUUGGUUCACAGUGUGCUUCAUGGAGUGGAGCUGCUGGGCUGCUGUUCUUUUUGCUGGUCCCAGGCUCAGGGCCUCUGAUCAAUUCCCAUUUUUCCUGCAUCCCUUGCCCAUGAUGGUCUCAACUUAGUGGCAGCUCUUUGGAAAAGAACAAGCUCCCUGCCCCACCUCGUGGUUAGCCUGCUUACCUCCUUCUCUGUCUUCCAUGAGGUCUCCAGAAGUCUCCAGUGUUUUCCAGCUGGGAACUGUGGGGUCCAAACAAGCUGAAAGGCCCUGUGCCCCUAUGGCUCACCAGGAUCCAGACCUUGAAGGGUGAUGACCACAAUCCCACCUGGAAAUUUCAGUUUGACAUCUAACCUCUCCUCCUCUGAUGUUCCUGACUUCGUUUUAGACGCCUUUAAUUGAAAACCCAGAGCUUAGCCACCUAUUUCUUGAUCCUGAUGAGAGCCUGAAACCAUCCUGAGCCUGUGUUCAUCAUCAUCCAGUAUAAGCCAAGCAAAGUAACAACCACUUUCUGGAAAAAGAGGUGACCUUAUCUACCAUCUAUGUACUUUGGUCUGCUUAAGGCAACAUGGAUGCCAAGAGAUGGACCUAAACCUCUCCCUGAUCAGCAGCUCGCAGACUCCUGUUCCCUGUGCAGCCGACGUCUCUGCUGUCCCCACCCCCACCCUGCAGUCCCGCGGCCAACAGCGUCUCCUCAGCGCGACACUCAGCGGCCGCCAUCUUCCCCGCAGACAUCACUGCAGGACGAUCCCUGUCUGGCACGUCUCUCCUGCCAUGUCUGCCACAGAGGAGCACGACUGGAUCCCGGGUGGCCCGGAUAGAGCUGGUGGCGGGGCGGGCCGCGACCCCAGUCUCCUUGGGGUCCAAGCAUCUGCUUCGGAGGGGAUGGAAGGAGUCGAGGAGGCCACGGCUCUUCUGGCCUCCUUGGAGGUCUCCAGAGCCCGUCCCGAGGAGCAGGGUUGGCCUCAGGCCGCAGUGGGAGAGGAGUGUGGUAGAGAGCCGUUAGAGGAGGAGAAGAUGGAGGAAGAUGUAGAGGCGAUGGAGGAGGACGAGGAAGAGGGGGAGAUUGAUUUCGAUGUGGAAGUCGUGGAGGAGGAGGCGCCUCUGUCUGGAGAGGGAGAGGAAGAGGAGGAUGAGAAUGAGCAGGAGGGUGCGGCAGCGGUUACAGGCCUUGGGUUCUCUAUGGAGACGUUUGGGCCCCUGUUCUGGAGUCACGUGGACUCCUUUCUACACAAUAUCCGUAACAACAAACAUCUCCUGUUCCGGCCUCCCACCGACCACCUGAUGGCCGGGGGCUGCUCCCCACCACCCUCGGACCCUGGAGAAGGUCCGGUGCCUCCUCAGGAGCGGGAAGACCUGGGAGAGGGAGACAGAGGCUUGCAGGGUGAGUACCCGGUGGAGGGCGCUCCACCCUGGGAGCUGCGGGAUCUUGUGGAGGGGUUUGCAUCCUAGAAGACACAGGAACCACCAGUGGAGGCCGAGUUCUGGGCGAGGAAGCCCUGACUGCUGCCUCUGAGACUGGGAGGUUGAGGCCUGUGGUCCCGGAGGGGCUGAGGCAGGCAAGUGGUGGCUGAGCCUUCAGGCCCUUGUGGGGCCAUUGAGCUCAAAGGCAGGUCUCUAGCAGUCACGCAGUGGGUCAAAACUCUCAAAAACCUCCAGGCACAAUUAGCACAAGUGGAAGCCCAGUUCUAUAGACCUUCAUGGUCUCGAGAAAAAGCAUGCUGCCUUCUACCAACCUAGAGGCAAACAAGUGGCAUCCCUCCCUUUCGGUUAACGGCUUUAAAAAAUGUGAAUAUUCUCGGUAGGAGGAUCCGAGAAAAUGAUGACAUAGCACAGGGGCACUUUUCAGUGAUUGAGGAAUCUGUGAGCGUCCCCAUAGAGUUUGCCUUUAAAUCGAACGAACAUUUUUUUUCCAUUGAGGUUCCGAAAAACACAGAGAAAAUGGUAUCAGUAUCAAAUGAUUUGGAUCCGUUCUCCAAAGGGGCCAGAAAUAAUCAAAGAGAUCUGUGUCAGAUCUACUGGAAAGAGGGGAAAAACGUUUGUGAAAAUCGUCAAGCAGCAGACAUGAUGGGGGGUAGAAGUGUAUCCAGGUAUUAUUUGUUUUUUCUUUUGUUAAACCUAUUUCUCUUCUCUCAGGCCUAGACUCUGCUGCUGAUUUUCAGUUGGGAUAUUUUCCCUGCCAACUUUUGACCCCAAUGUCUGCGUCAUUCUGCCCUAAUGAUGAGGGUGAGGAUCAGUAUGAAAAGGCUGAUGAAGAGGAAGAGGAUGAAAAUGAAAAACCUGAAGGACUCUAAAUGGAUGUGGUCUCAGCAAAGAGCAGCUCUGGAUAAUACAGGUAUUAUUGCAUAGGCUUUAGUAUGACAUAACCAUUCCUGACACAUACGUCUUACUAACAGCUUUAUAGUUUUAAAUUUUUCUUCUGUAAAGUAAAUAAGAAAAUGGUUGAAAUUAAAUUUUGGAAAAAAAGUUUAUUGUUAAUAAUGUAUUCUAGAUAAUGUAGGAGGCAGUAUGUUCUGAAAUGUAUUUCAUUUAUAGCCACAAGUCCUUUGUCCUGUAGCUUUAGUGGAGACCAGUGCUUCUUUAGAAAAUAGUCACCAGAAGCAGCAGCUAAAGUGACUAGGUCGUGCAUUAGCUGUGUUAUCAUCGCCUGGCCACAGAAUUUUAGUCUCUUGUACUGAUGAUGACUUUAAGAAAGUGAUUCCUUACAAAGUAGUAAGAUGUUAAGGGUUUCAAGAGAACUGCAUUUCAGGAUUAAUUCACAAAUAUUAGUUCAAGUUAGAUUUUUUUAUUCAAAAGAAAAGAAAACUAGUCUUAGUAAUAUUGGUUAUCCCUGAGUUGGUAAUUAAAUCUCUGUUUCUCUUUCCUCUAUUCACUCAUCUUUUAGUCUCUCUCAGUCACUCUCUCACUCUUUCUUAGUUUUCAUGCAUGUGGAUGUUUGACAAAGCCUCAUUCUCAUUUUACACAUGUGGAAACUGAAGGUCUGGAAAUAUAAGGGAUUUAUGAUUUGUGCAAGGGAACACCAGUUUUUAAGGUGGAAUGACUUAUUUAAAUCACAGUGUGGCCUUUCAAGGAAACAGCAAGCGUUAAUAGUGUUGGGCAAGAGGGAGAUAAUUUUUGCGUGAGAAAUGAUGUGCACUGUGAUUACCAAGGGUUUGGGUUACAAGAAGAAAACAUUUUGUUUUCUCCUUGUUGAGAAAAUAGAUGUACAUAGUAUUGACUCAUAUUUAGAAAGUCACUGGUGCAUGUUAUUGAGGUACAAUUGUUAACUGGCUCUUAUUUCAUCCUACAGUGAGAAGGCAUAAAAAGAAGCAGAUAGAAAAAGAUGAAUUUGUUCUUCAUGGAUAUUCUUGUUUUCAUUAGCCUGAAAUACUAAUUUUGUUUCAAAGUUUCAACCCCCCAAAAUGAUAUUAACUACUGACAUCUGACUUUACUCUUACCUUUUAACAGAUAAUUUGAUAGUAUUGUUCACAUUGGAAAUAAAAGCUUGUUUGGAAG